UACGAAGGGGGCUAGCGUUGUUCGGAAUCACUGGGCGUAAAGGGCGCGUAGGCGGCUUUAUAAGUCGGGGGUGAAAGCCUGUGGCUCAACCACAGAAUUGCCUUCGAUACUGUAGAGCUUGAGACCGGAAGAGGUAAGUGGAACUGCGAGUGUAGAGGUGAAAUUCGUAGAUAUUCGCAAGAACACCGGUGGCGAAGGCGGCAUCCUGGACCGGUAUUGACGCUGAGGCGCGAAAGCCAGGGGAGCAAACGGG
RNAcentral lists this ribosomal RNA (253 nucleotides) under uncultured bacterium. Its description in RNAcentral is "partial 16S ribosomal RNA". It matches the Rfam family "Bacterial small subunit ribosomal RNA", at positions 524 to 776 of the family's 1533-position model. The record is from RNAcentral.